AAGAGACUGACUCACUCACACACUCCACGUAUCAUCACAGAAAGAGACUGACUCACUCACACACUCCACAUAUCAUCACAGAAAGAGACUGACUCACUCACACACUCCACGUAUCAUCACAGAACGAGACUCUCACACACUCCACGUAUCAUCACAGAAAGAGACUGGCUCACACACACACUCCACGUAUCAUCACAGAAAGAGACUGACUCACACACUCCACGUAUCAUCACAGAAAGAGACUGACUCACUCACACACUCCACGUAUUCUCACAGAAAGAGACUGACUCACUCACACACUCCACGUAUCAUCACAGAAAGAGACUCACUCACACACUCCACGUAUCAUCACAGAAAGAGACUGACUCACACACUCCACGUAUCAUCACAGAAAGAGACUGACUCACUCACACACUCCACGUAUCAUCACAGAAAGAGACUGACUCACUCACACACUCCACGUAUCAUCACGGAAAGAGACUGGCUCACUCACACACUCCACGUAUCAUCACAGAAAGAGACUGGCUCACUCACACACCACGUAUCAUCACAGAAAGAGACUGACUCACUCACACACUCCACGUAUCAUCACAGAAAGAGACUGACUCACUCACACACUCCACGUAUCAUCACAGAAAGAGACUGACUCACACACUCCACGUAUCAUCACAGAAAGAGACUGACUCACUCACACACUGCACGUAUCAUCACAGAAAGAGACUGGCUCACUCACACACUCCACGUAUCAUCACAGAAAGAGACUGGCUCACUCACACACUCCAUGUAUCAUCACAGAAAGAGACUGGCUCACUCACACACUCCACGUAUCAUCACAGAAAGAUAUUGACUCACUCACACACUCCACGUAUCAUCACAGAAAGAGACUGGCUCACACACUCCACGUAUCAUCACAGAAAGAGACUGACUGACACACUCCACGUAUCAUCACAGAAAGAGACUGACUCACUCACACACUCCACGUAUCAUCACAGAAAGAGACUGACUCACACACUCCACGUAUCAUCACAGAAAGAGACUGACUCA
Molecule: long non-coding RNA, 1044 nt
Filed under: Salmo salar (Atlantic salmon)
Lineage: Eukaryota; Metazoa; Chordata; Actinopteri; Salmoniformes; Salmonidae
Description: lncRNA (ENSSSAG00000100990.1)
Source: RNAcentral